UCAAUAGUAGGUACAAUUCCCGCGAAUCUCACCUUUUUAUGUUCGUAAUAUUGACCAAUAAAUUACCUCCUGAACACUCAAAGCAAUUUACGUAAUUAUACGUGGUGAUGACUGCGGAAAUACGCUGUUGCCUCGACGCGUGCGAAACGACAAAACACAUAAAUGCAAUCGAAAUCCAAAUCACUUGAUCAUUUUAGUCUUGGUGUUACAUAAAUCAUGAGAAUAAAACUUCGUGCAAGUGAUUACACUUUCGUUUUGCUGCGUCGAGUCAACAAAAAGCCAAACGUGCUUCAAAAAAUGAUUUUAGUAACGACUAGCGUCGGUAAAGGAUCGGUAAAGAGGAUGCGGUUCUGCUUUUCUUUGCUAGUAAAAGAGAUAUGUCAAUGCUGUUUAAUUUUCAUGCAGGAUUUAUUCAAACUUUAAAAAUAAAACACACACGGUGCCUUUGCCAAUCAGUAUAUCCAAGGUCAUAAAGCCAAAGUGCCAGUUUCAAGGUGAAGUCGUAUUUAGUGCCAAGAAUAAGCCAAAAUAAGUUUACAAAACACAGGCGACGAGACUUCUUGUAUCGGAUAAUCGGUGAACUGUAAGUCCUCUCGAAUUGUGGUGGCAUUCGAGAAACAAGUUCAAGGAUAAAUGCCAAACAAGAAUUUAUCGCCAAGGCCAUAUUGUAA
Molecule: long non-coding RNA, 671 nt
Organism: Diprion similis
Lineage: Eukaryota; Metazoa; Arthropoda; Insecta; Hymenoptera; Diprionidae
Exons: 2
Source: RefSeq, a predicted model, not a curated record